Molecule: ribosomal RNA, 253 nt
Filed under: uncultured bacterium
Lineage: Bacteria
Description: partial 16S ribosomal RNA
Rfam family: Bacterial small subunit ribosomal RNA
Source: RNAcentral
UACGGGGGGGGCAAGCGUUGUUCGGAAUUACUGGGCGUAAAGGGCUCGUAGGUGGCCAACUAAGUCGGACGUGAAAUCCCUCGGCUUAACCGGGGAACUGCGUCUGAUACUGGAUGGCUUGAGUUCGGGAGAGGGAUGCGGAAUUCCAGGUGUAGCGGUGAAAUGCGUAGAUAUCUGGAGGAACACCGGUGGCGAAGGCGCACAUCUGGCCCGAUACUGACGCUGAGGCGCGAAAGCUAGGGGAGCAAACGGG